AGCGCAGGCGGGAAACUAAGCGGAUCUUAAAAGUGCGGGGCUCAACCCCGUGAUGGGGUCCGAACUGGUUUUCUUGAGUGCAGGAGAGGAAAGCGGAAUUCCCAGUGUAGCGGUGAAAUGCGUAGAUAUUGGGAAGAACACCAGUGGCGAAGGCGGCUUUCUGGACUGUAACUGACGCUGAGGCUCGAAAGCUAGGGUAGCGAAG
Molecule: ribosomal RNA, 205 nt
Filed under: uncultured bacterium
Lineage: Bacteria
Description: partial 16S ribosomal RNA
Rfam family: Bacterial small subunit ribosomal RNA
Source: RNAcentral